Molecule: unclassified non-coding RNA, 1918 nt
Filed under: Lucilia cuprina (Australian sheep blowfly)
Lineage: Eukaryota; Metazoa; Arthropoda; Insecta; Diptera; Calliphoridae
Description: uncharacterized LOC111675694, transcript variant X4
Source: RNAcentral
AGUAGCAAACUGUAUCGGCGCAGCCGGCAGCUAGUCGAGCAGCCGGUUAAUUUUCACGAGCCACGUCGCCGCCAGCUUAUUUUUGAGAUAGCGAGAGGCUAACCGAGUUAUUACAAUAAACACCCAAUUUAAAAAAAAAAACGAAAUCUACUUAAAUUUGACAGAGAGUGUUCUACUUUUUAUGUCAUUUUUUGGAGAAAAACAAAUACAUAAACAAAAAAUUAAAGCUUAUAUAUUAUUGCAUCAUAUUUUGGAGUCAUUGCUAAUUGUGUUUUCGGUGUGUAAAGAGUAAAUAAUAGAAGGAUUGCAUAUUUAAAAUAUAGCGUGUCGAUAGAAAUAUUAUGUGCAAAAACUUUAAAAAUUAGUUAAAAGUCGAAAAUACAAUUAUAUUGCCCACAAUUACAUAAAGUCCAUAAACUAAAAAAGAAGUUUUUAAAAACAGUGCGUCGCAUUAAAAAAUUGUAUGCAAAUAGAUUUUGGUCGUGUGUUAAUUGUAGAAAAAAAAGUUAAUUCUAUUGUCUACUUAAAGACUUUCAGCCUUAACUUUUCUAGAGGUCCAAAAAACUCUUCCCGGCUUUAAAAUAUUGAGUGCAAAUAUAUACCUACUUACCAAACAAAAUUAAAUAAAUCUAAAAACAAGUGCUUGACGUGUGGAAAUGGAAGCAGAUAAACAAUAACAUCGUCUACAAAAAUCUAAAAACCAUUAAAUUAUUUUUUUUGGAAAACCAUUGCCGCCUACACCAAAAUAUUUUGUUUAAAUGCUUAACAAUUAUAAAAGUGUUAAUAUUGUGUGCAAAUACUCAAAGACCAUAAAAUUUAUUGGAAUUGUUUUUGCUUGCCGUGUGAAAAAUAAAUCAAAACAUUGGAAGUACAUAUCCUAAGGGGAAAGAAAAACAAUUAUCUGCAAAUACAAGAUGUUGAAGAUAAUUAUGGUCUCAUUUUGAUGUAUUUGAGAGAUGAAAAAACAACUGCUGAAGAUUUUUGCUUAUACUGGAAACAAUGUGCCCCAUUGAGAUUUAACCAGAUGAAAGACUCGAAAAAAACCUCAGAAAUUUUAAAAUUGUGGCCAGAGUUCAAAAAACCUUCUGCUUGGCAAUUGAUAAUUAUUAAUAUUAUUACAUCUUAUUAUUUAUUUAUUUAUUUAAUUAUUUAUUUAUUUAUUUAUUUAUUUAUUUAUUUAUUUAUUUAUUUAUUAAUUAAUAUUUUUAUAAUGGACUCUUAAACGUUUUCUCAUUGCUGUUUUCAUUUAGAUCGAUAGGAGAUAAAAUGUUGACUUUACUAAAACAAAAAGUAUCUUCAGCAUUUGUCUCACAAAAACUGUUAGAACUUGAUGCUCACAAUGAAGAAUCUAAAACAUUCGCUGUUUUGUGGUACCUUCACUACAUAUUUUCCCCUAAUCAAAAGGUUAAUACUGAUCCUAGUGGCAGCAAAAUAAGAAAAAAAUUUUCCAUUGCUGAUUCACAAAAUAGUUUUGCUAUCUUAGCAGACAGCAGUCAGGAAUUAGAAACAAAAAUUAAAUUGCUUCAACUUCAAAAUCGCUGUAUUCAACCAAAACUGUUAAUUGUGGGACAAUUAACAAACAUUAAAUCCAUUAACAUUUAUUUAGAUAAUAUAAGGUAUCCAUUUUGUAACAUAUUAAAAGCAUUUGAUAUACUUUUUAAGUUAUUUUUUGUAUUUAACUUACAAUAUCCCGAAGAAUCGGAACUUUUUUACAAUUUUAUUCAAAACUGUUUUUUUUUAUUACAAAAAAAAUAUACUAAAAUUUCCUCCAUUAAACAUGAGUUGUCCAGCAAUGUAUAAAACAUAAACAAACUUAUUUGUGAACUGUUUUUAAAACAAUUUAUGUACAAUUAUUUUAAAAAUAAAACUUUAUUUUUAAUUAUUAAAUAUUAAAAGUAAAUGUAUAACUUUACAUAAA